AACGUAGGAGGCAAGCGUUAUCCGGAGUUACUGGGCGUAAAGAGUGCGUAGGCGGAUUGAUAAGUGGGUGGUGAAAGCGCCCGGCUAAACCGGGCGAGGUCCAUUCAGACUGUCAGGCUAGAGCACAGUAGAGGCAGGUGGAAUUCCCGGUGUAGCGGUGGAAUGCGUAGAGAUCGGGAAGAACAUCAGUGGCGAAGGCGGCCUGCUGGGCUGUUGCUGACGCUGAGGCGCGACAGCGUGGGGAGCAAACAGG
Molecule: ribosomal RNA, 253 nt
Filed under: uncultured bacterium
Lineage: Bacteria
Description: partial 16S ribosomal RNA
Rfam family: Bacterial small subunit ribosomal RNA
Source: RNAcentral